This 496-nucleotide ribosomal RNA is filed under the name uncultured bacterium. Its description in RNAcentral is "partial 16S ribosomal RNA". It matches the Rfam family "Bacterial small subunit ribosomal RNA", at positions 29 to 507 of the family's 1533-position model. The record is from RNAcentral.
AUGAACGCUGGCGGCGUGCCUAAUCCAUGCCAGUCGAGCGAACAGACGAGGAGCUUGCUCCUCUGACGUUAGCGGCGGACGGGUGAGUAACACGUGGAUAACCUACCUAUAAGACUGGGAUAACUUCGGGAAACCGGAGCUAAUACCGGAUAAUAUAUUGAACCGCAUGGUUCAAUAGUGAAAGACGGUUUUGCUGUCACUUAUAGAUGGAUCCGCGCCGCAUUAGCUAGUUGGUAAGGUAACGGCUUACCAAGGCAACGAUGCGUAGCCGACCUGAGAGGGUGAUCGGCCACACUGGAACUGAGACACGGUCCAGACUCCUACGGGAGGCAGCAGUAGGGAAUCUUCCGCAAUGGGCGAAAGCCUGACGGAGCAACGCCGCAUGAGUGAUGAAGGUCUUCGGAUCGUAAAACUCUGUUAUUAGGGAAGAACAAAUGUGUAAGUAACUAUGCACGUCUUGACGGUACCUAAUCAGAAAGCCACGGCUAACUACGUG